Molecule: long non-coding RNA, 276 nt
Organism: Haliotis rubra (blacklip abalone)
Lineage: Eukaryota; Metazoa; Mollusca; Gastropoda; Lepetellida; Haliotidae
Exons: 3
Source: RefSeq, a predicted model, not a curated record
CUGUUCUUGCUGCGCUGCUGUGUGCCAGCACUGUCAACUGUGAGUGCGCGUGUACCCGCAUCCUUGACCCCGUCUGUGACACCGCCGGCAACUACUACGACAAUUCGUGCCUGUUGAACUGUGUUGAGGGUGCCGUCCAGGCCGCGGAGGGCGCCUACACUGUCAGUGGAACCUCCUGUGUUGCUGCUAGGAAGUAGAUGACCUUCACCUUUGACGACAUGGAACGUCUCCGAAUAAAGAAGCACAUAUUGCCUGUGCAAUAAAAUAUAGAAGCAA